CUCCUCCUUACAGAGGCAGUUUGUUCCGAGUUCCCGACAUUACUCGCUGGCAACAGAACAUGAGGGUUGCGCUCGUUGCGGGACUUAACCCAACAUUUCACAACACGAGCUGACGACAGCCAUGCACCACCUGUGAUACACCUUCGAAAGCGACUGCUUUUCGGCAGCUUGCAGAUACAUGUCAAACCCAGGUAAGGUUCUUCGCGUUGCAUCGAAUUAAUCCGCAUGCUCCGCCGCUUGUGCGGGCCCCCGUCAAUUCCUUUGAGUUUUAGCCUUGCGGCCGUACUCCCCAGGCGGGGCGCUUAAUGCGUUAGCUGCGGCACAGAGAACUGGAGAGGUCCCCCACACCUAGCGCCCAACGUUUACAGCGUGGACUAC
This 378-nucleotide unclassified non-coding RNA is filed under the name uncultured bacterium. RNAcentral describes it as "contains 16S-23S intergenic spacer region". The record is from RNAcentral.